UACGGAGGGGGCGAGCGUUGUUCGGAAUCAUUGGGCGUAAAGGGCGCGUAGGCGGCCGUCCAAGUCGGGUGUGAAAUCCCUCGGCUCAACCGAGGAACUGCACUCGAUACUGGUCGGCUAGAGUCCGGGAGGGGAUGGUGGAAUUCCCAGUGUAGCGGUGAAAUGCGUAGAUAUUGGGAAGAACACCGGUGGCGAAGGCGGCCAUCUGGACCGGUACUGACGCUGAGGCGCGAAAGCCAGGGGAGCGAAUGGG
Molecule: ribosomal RNA, 253 nt
Filed under: uncultured bacterium
Lineage: Bacteria
Description: partial 16S ribosomal RNA
Rfam family: Bacterial small subunit ribosomal RNA
Source: RNAcentral